UACUGGGCCCAGUCCCAGGACUAUCCAAGUGUGAAGCCAACACCUUUUCACAGCAACUCCAAGUUCCAUGGGCUGACUGGACUCCACUGGGAGUUCUUGAUGUCUCUCGUGUGGUUGUGUGAGAUAGUGGCUGGGACUGGACUCAUCUGAAGGCUUGACUGGGCUGGAUGCCCAAGAUAGCCCACUUUUAGACAGAGGUGGCUGGCAGUUGAUGCUGACUGUCAGCUGGGGACUCAGCUGAGAGUGUUAACUGGAGUCCCUAGACGUGGCUUCUCCACAUGGCUUGGGCUUCUCAUGGAAGGGCACCUGGAUUCUGAGAGAGAGCAUCCCAAGAGACACAAGUGGAAAUGAUAAAGCUUCUUAUGACGUAGACUGGAGGUACUGAGACUUCACUUUUGCUACAUUAGAAGGUUUGAUGCUGACAUUUUAUGAUUUCACAACUUGGAUCCUCUGUCCUCUGAUACUGAAUCAGAUAGUAGUUUAUGGAGCUGAGCAGAGAGCCAGCUGGUCCUGGGCACAGAGGAGGCUGUGUUCCAUGCUGAAGACAAGAACAUAUGGUGGACGUACCAUCCUAACUAUCUGGGAAGGGAGCUUCGUGGCUACAUGGGAGUUAUCAUCUACCAGUGCCGGCUGCAUCCUGGCUGUGCCCACCUCUGGACUCUGAAUCUCUGCACCUCAGUACCCCCAACCCCAACACGACUGUGAUGUUAGGCAUAUAUUAGGCAUGUGAAGAUGAGAAAGAGAAGAUAUAGCUCCCAUGUUUAUCUCCAUGAGAAGAUAAGCCAUAGGGAGAGAGAAAGACUGCUGUGCACGAGAGGGAGUGUCAAAUGCCAAAUGGAUGUCAACAGUCAGGGUGUGCU
RNAcentral lists this long non-coding RNA (860 nucleotides) under Pan troglodytes (chimpanzee). RNAcentral describes it as "lincRNA". Lineage: Eukaryota; Metazoa; Chordata; Mammalia; Primates; Hominidae. The record is from RNAcentral.